This is a long non-coding RNA of Rhagoletis pomonella (apple maggot), 449 nucleotides long. RefSeq lists it as uncharacterized. The transcript is spliced from 5 exons. NCBI's taxonomy places the organism in Eukaryota, Metazoa, Arthropoda, Insecta, Diptera, Tephritidae. The record is from RefSeq and is a predicted model, not a curated record.
AUUGCAAUUUUCGGAAAACCAAUUGCUCAAAUCGUUUCUGGUGUUUUGUGUGUAUGUGAAUUUCACAGACAAUUUGUGUUUUUCGAACUGCUUUUCCGUGCUGACUUCAAGUUGGAUUUUGUGCUUCUGCACCGAAUACACUUUUGCGUUCUGAUUGAAGCCGUACUAAUUGAUGUUUUCGCUGUAUACGUGGAUUCGCUGAUCGUUGUUUCGUUGUUUUGCUGUGCUGGAUUUUGCGCCUCUGCACCCAAUACACUUUUCCGUUCUGAUUGAAGCCGUACUAAUUGAAGUUGUCGCUCUUUUUCGUUAGCUGCAUACGUAUAUUAGUCUGGAAGUAUGGUUUGCAGGGAUCGUAGUACCACACACAUUUCAUGGAGCAAUAACAACACAACAACAACAAGUUUAAGAAAAGUACUAUAAAUUAAACGAAAAAGAAAAUUUUAAUCUAA